UGCCAGCAGCCGCGGUAAUACGGAGGGGGCGAGCGUUGCUCGGAUUUACUGGGCGUAAAGCGACCGCAGGCGGUUUGUUAAGUCAGAUGUGAAAUCCCGGUGCUCAACGCCGGAACUGCAUUUGAAACUGGCAAACUAGAGUCAUAGAGAGGAGGACAGAAUUUCCAGUGUAGAGGUGAAAUUCGUAGAUAUUGGAAGGAAUACCGAUUGCGAAGGCAGUUCUCUGGCUAUGUACUGACGCUCAGGGUCGAAAGCGUGGGUAGCAAACAGGAUUAGAUA
Molecule: ribosomal RNA, 279 nt
Filed under: uncultured bacterium
Lineage: Bacteria
Description: partial 16S ribosomal RNA
Rfam family: Bacterial small subunit ribosomal RNA
Source: RNAcentral